Molecule: ribosomal RNA, 393 nt
Filed under: uncultured bacterium
Lineage: Bacteria
Description: partial 16S ribosomal RNA
Rfam family: Bacterial small subunit ribosomal RNA
Source: RNAcentral
AUACGGAGGAUGCAAGCGUUAUCCGGCUUUAUUGGGUUUAAAGGGUGCGUAGGCGGGACUGUAAGUCAGGGGUGAAAUACUGCAGCUUAACUGUAGCAUUGCCUUUGCAAAUGCCGUUCUUGAGUACAGUUGAGGUAGGCGGAAUGUGGGGUUUAGCGGGUAAAUGCAUAGAUAUACCACAGAACGCCGAUUGCGAAGGCAGCUUACUAAGCUGUUACUGACGUUGAGGCACGAAAGCGUGGGGAUCAAACAGGAUUAGAUACCCUGGUAGUCCACGCUGUAAACGAUGAUUACUGGUUGUUAGCGAUAUAUAGCUAGUGACUGAGCGAAAGCAUUAAGUAAUCCACCUGGGGAGUACGUCGGCAACGAUGAAACUUAAAGGAAUUGACGGGG